This 508-nucleotide long non-coding RNA is filed under the name Phoenix dactylifera (date palm). RNAcentral describes it as "long non-coding RNA (PDAC_LNC022656)". The record is from RNAcentral. Lineage: Eukaryota; Viridiplantae; Streptophyta; Magnoliopsida; Arecales; Arecaceae.
UUUAUUCCCUGCUUUAAAAUCCGUACUCAUCAUUAUUCUUGCUUUGAAAUCCAUACUUAUCAUUAUUCACGCUUUGAAAUAUGUACUAUUAUUAUUCAUGCUUUGAAAUCUGUGCUUGUAAUAAAGUAACAUUUCAUAUAAUCAAACCUUUACCAUAAUCAAACUAGUUAUAAAACUAUGCCUGUCCAUUCAUGCAACUUCAUAAAUAUGAUUAUGCAUCAUAAAACUUUUGCCAUUUAUGCAUCGUAAAACUUUUGUCAUUUAUGCAUCAUAAAACUUUUGCCAUUUAUGCAACAUAAAACUUUUGCCAUUUAUGCAACAUAAAACUUUUGCAAUUAUUCCAUACUUUGAAAUUCAUACUCUCAGAUGGUAGUGUAGCUAUGGCCGCUCUUAUUCCCACGGCAAGGCCUUUACCACUGCAGGGUCAUCUUCCAGUUACUAUUACCCACUGGCGGGGGUCGUAAAGCCAAGUUACUUUUACCCACUGGCGGGGUUAUAUGCCUAGUUA